AUUAGACGAAUCAUCUGGAAAGAUGAAUCAAAGAAGGUAAUAAUCCUGUAGUCGAAAAUGUUGUCUCUCUUGAGUGGAUCCUGAGUACGACGGAGCACGUGAAAUUCCGUCGGAAUCUGGGAGGACCAUCUCCUAAGGCUAAAUACUCUCUAGUGACCGAUAGUGAACCAGUACCGUGAGGGAAAGGUGAAAAGCACCCCGGAAGGGGAGUGAAAUAGAACCUGAAACCGUGUGCUUACAAGUAGUCAGAGCCCGUUAAUGGGUGAUGGCGUGCCUUUUGUAGAAUGAACCGGCGAGUUACGAUUUGAUGCAAGGUUAAGCAGUAAAUGUGGAGCCGUAGCGAAAGCGAGUCUGAAUAGGGCGUUUAGUAUUUGGUCGUAGACCCGAAACCAGGUGAUCUACCCUUGGUCAGGUUGAAGUUCAGGUAACACUGAAUGGAGGACCGAACCGACUUACGUUGAAAAGUGAGCGGAUGAACUGAGGGUAGCGGAGAAAUUCCAAUCGAACCUGGAGAUAGCUGGUUCUCUCCGAAAUAGCUUUAGGGCUAGCCUCAAGUGAUGAUUAUUGGAGGUAGAGCACUGUUUGGACGAGGGGCCCCUCUCGGGUUACCGAAUUCAGACAAACUCCGAAUGCCAAUUAAUUUAACUUGGGAGUCAGAACAUGGGUGAUAAGGUCCGUGUUCGAAAGGGAAACAGCCCAGACCACCAGCUAAGGUCCCAAAAUAUAUGUUAAGUGGAAAAGGAUGUGGCGUUGCCCAGACAACUAGGAUGUUGGCUUAGAAGCAGCCAUCAUUUAAAGAGUGCGUAAUAGCUCACUAGUCGAGUGACACUGCGCCGAAAAUGUACCGGGGCUAAACAUAUUACCGAAGCUGUGGAUUGUCCUUUGGACAAUGGUAGGAGAGCGUUCUAAGGGCGUUGAAGCAUGAUCGUAAGGACAUGUGGAGCGCUUAGAAGUGAGAA
Molecule: ribosomal RNA, 959 nt
Filed under: Staphylococcus aureus
Lineage: Bacteria; Bacillati; Bacillota; Bacilli; Caryophanales; Staphylococcaceae
Description: partial 23S ribosomal RNA
Rfam family: Bacterial large subunit ribosomal RNA
Source: RNAcentral